Molecule: non-coding RNA, 159 nt
Filed under: Gorilla gorilla gorilla (western lowland gorilla)
Lineage: Eukaryota; Metazoa; Chordata; Mammalia; Primates; Hominidae
Source: Rfam by way of RNAcentral
GCCAGGUGUGGUGUCUCACACCUGUAAUCCCAGCUACUUGGGAGGCUUAGGCAGGAGGACUGCUUGAGCUCAGGACAUUGAGGCUGCAGUGCACUAUGAUCGUGUCUGUCAAUAGCCACUGUACUCCAGCCUGGGCAACAUAGCAAGACUCCAUCUCUA